GACGAACGCUGGCGGCGUGCCUAAUACAUGCAAGUAGAACGCAGUUGCGAACGGGUGAGUAACGCGUAGGUAACUGCCUCAUAGCGGGGGAUAACUAUUGGAAACGAUAGCUAAUACCGCAUACUGUGAGAUGGACCUGCGUUGUAUUAGCUAGUUGGUGAGGUAAAGGCUCACCACGGCGACGUUACAUAGCCGACCUGAGAGGGUGAUAGGACACACUGGGACUGAGACACGGCCCAGAGUACUACGGGAGGCAGCAGGAGGGAAGCUUCGGGAAGGGACGGAAGUCUGACCGAGCAACGCCGCGUGAGUGAAGAAGGUUCUCGGAGAGUAAAGCUCUGUUGAUAGAGAAGCGGUAGCUAACCAGAAUGGCACGGAUAACUACGUGCCAGCAGCCGCGGUAAUUC
RNAcentral lists this ribosomal RNA (407 nucleotides) under uncultured bacterium. Its description in RNAcentral is "partial 16S ribosomal RNA". It matches the Rfam family "Bacterial small subunit ribosomal RNA", at positions 28 to 526 of the family's 1533-position model. The record is from RNAcentral.